RNAcentral lists this long non-coding RNA (256 nucleotides) under Sorghum bicolor (sorghum). RNAcentral's name for it is "long non-coding RNA (SBIC_LNC003349)". Lineage: Eukaryota; Viridiplantae; Streptophyta; Magnoliopsida; Poales; Poaceae. The record is from RNAcentral.
GGCCCUUUUAAUUUUUUACAUUGUUUUGUUUUUUAUUUGUUUAGUCCAACUCUAACUUUGGUUUGGCCCUUCAAGGUGUGUAUGUCCGUUUUUGUUUCUCAUCCCCGUUGCUCUCCAUAAUUUUUUUGUCCCAUCUUUUUAUGGUUAGGUUUUUUCUAUUCUGUUUUUCCCUUGUCGUUCUAGGUUUCGCUCUCCAUAUUAUUUUGCGGCAUCCCUUUCUGUCACUACUAGAGAACAGACCUUUCGUCGAUGUGCC